GGCAUACGGCUCAGUAACACGUAGUCAACUUACCCUAUGGACGAGGAUAAUCCCGGGAAACUGAGCAUAAUACUCGAUAGAUCAUAAUGCCUGGAAUGGUUUAUGGUUGAAAUGAUUCGUCGCCAUAGGAUGGGACUGCGGCCUAUCAGCUUGUUGGUGAGGUAAUGGCCCACCAAGGCGAUUACAGGUACGGGCUCUGAGAGGAGAAGCCCGGAGAUGGGUACUGAGACAAGGACCCAGGCCCUAUGGGGCGCAGCAGGCGAGAAAACUUUGCAAUGAGCGAAAGCACGACAAGGUUAAUCCGAGUGAUUUCUGCUAAAGAAAUCUUUUGCAAGUCAUAAAACCACUAGUGAAUAAGGGGUGGGCAAGUUCUGGUGUCAGCCGCCGCGGUAAAACCAGCACCUCAAGUGGUCAGGAGGAUUAUUGGGCCUAAAGCAUCCGUAGCCGGCUCUGUAAGUUUUCGGUUAAAUCCAUGUGCUCAACGCAUGGGCUGCCGAAAAUACUGCAUAGCUAGGGAGUGGGAGAGGUAGACGGUACUCGGUAGGAAGGGGUAAAAUCCUUUGAUCUAUCGAUGACCACCUGUGGCGAAGGCGGUCUACCAGAACACGUUCGACGGUGAGGGAUGAAAGCUGGGGGAGCAAACCGGAUUAGAUACCCGGGUAGUCCCAGCCGUAAACGAUGCAGACUCGAUGAUGCAUUGGCAUAUAGCCAGUGCAGUGUCGCA
This 724-nucleotide ribosomal RNA is filed under the name uncultured archaeon. RNAcentral describes it as "bacterial SSU rRNA". It matches the Rfam family "Archaeal small subunit ribosomal RNA", at positions 80 to 805 of the family's 1478-position model. The record is from RNAcentral.